Scleropages formosus (Asian bonytongue) is the source of this 1432-nucleotide long non-coding RNA. RefSeq lists it as uncharacterized. NCBI's taxonomy places the organism in Eukaryota, Metazoa, Chordata, Actinopteri, Osteoglossiformes, Osteoglossidae. The record is from RefSeq and is a predicted model, not a curated record. The transcript is spliced from 3 exons.
AACGUCCCGCUGUUUUUUUUUUUUUUUCUUCCUUUUCUUAUAAGCGCGCGAGGCGCCACCUGCCGCGGCUAAGAAGUUAAUUUAUGAAAACGAUGGGGUAUUUGCCUCUAACAGUCAUUAAAUUUGUGUUCGGUCUUGAUUUUCAACUAAAAUCAAUUGAAACACAUUACUAUAUCGUACUUUCUGCGGCUUUUUGUCGGUAAUUCGGACUGUCUGCAGCGUGAGCGUCCACUCGCGGUUAGCUUAGCCAGCUAGUCAGUUAGCACCAUCUCCCCACACUGCGAAGCGCCAACGACCACUUCUGCCUGGGCUCGUGCUGUCGCUCGCGAAGUGCUCCAGCCCGCCAUUGCAGCUUUUGGCGGGAGCGCCAUUUGUGUCCAAUAACCUCCCCUUCAUUUCUACUUCCUCCUUUUCUUGCUAUUAAUCCAGGCCGUAAUUUACAAAUUUUAACUGAGUUGUUGUCGAGUUUUUACUCACCCGUUUCGUGUAUCGCACGCUGGUUUGUUGUGAACUUUGCUUUUGAAGUGCACUUUUUAAUGCACAUCAUGUUCCUUAUCAAUGCAUUUACCCUAACAGAUAGACUAAACUGGGCCUUGGAACUGGGUGCAGAGUGAUUAUUCAAAGUGAAACACCGUGGAGGAGCAGACAUGCACAUUGGUGUAACACGCACCAGGGUAUACAAGGAGAGCCCCAGUGUCUUCUCCCCCACGCUGUCUGUCUUGGGUGCAACAAGGGUGUCUUUGAAGCCCAGUGUCCAGCUGCACUUUCUGGGAUCAAACCCCAGGGACAGUGAGUCUCUGUGCAGGCUGUGGGACCAAGACCACAGAAAAGGAGAAACUCGGGGCGAAACGACUGGGCAAGAAAGGGAGGCGAGGAGGGGGUGUGAGCUGCACGCCAUUAGACACAACUUAAAAUAAGCAACAGUUACAGAAAGUCGUCUUCACAACGCUCCUUCUCCAAGUCUCUGUGAUGUGGCAUGGGAAAAGAAACAUGCUUUUCUCUUGCCCUACUCUCUCUAGUCAUUCCUUGCAUGGAUGGUGGUAAAUUUCUAUUUUUUAUAGAGCAAUGUAACACACGCACAAUAUGAGCAAUGAAGAUUCCCCAGUUCACCUGAAACGCAUGUCAGACUGUGGGAGAAAUUCCAGGUUUUUUCAAAAAACUAUCCAUGUUCACUGUACUGUUUUACCCAUAUGGUAAUCCUCCUUUUCGUCUCUCUUCAAAUUCGGUUUCGCUUUCACAUUUUGUGUGGGUUUACAGUGUCACUAUGUAUUGUACAGUACCAGUGGCAUAACAACUCAUUUGAUACGGGGGAGUCAAAAACAGUAUUAAUAGUUCUUGAUUUGUACAGAAAUGGGGGGGGCGGGGAGUCCCCUCCCUUUUCACACCUACAGUAUGAUAAAUCAAGUGUAUACCACUGAAGUGUAAUUGUUGC